AGGACGAACGCUGGCGGCGUGCUUAACACAUGCAAGUCGAACGAUUCCGCGCUUUCGGGUGUGGUUUAGUGGCGAACGGGUGAGUAACACGUGGGCAACCUGCCCUCCACUCUGGGAUAACUCCGGGAAACCGGGGCUAAUACUGGAUACGACUAUGGUCCGCAUGGAUCGUGGUGGAAAGUUUUUCGGUGGAGGAUGGGCCCGCGGCCUAUCAGCUUGUUGGUGGGGUGAUGGCCUACAAGGCUUUGACGGGUA
Molecule: ribosomal RNA, 255 nt
Filed under: uncultured bacterium
Lineage: Bacteria
Description: partial small subunit ribosomal RNA
Rfam family: Bacterial small subunit ribosomal RNA
Source: RNAcentral